ACAGGAGGCAGGAAGAGGAGCCAGGACUGCCCCUACAUGGUGCCUGACCCCUCACUGUGGGGUGAGAAACAGGAUUGUCUGAGCAGGUGCGGGUCCUGUCAGGGAAAGGUCCUCUUUCCUGGGCAACUGUGGGGACAGUGAAAUGGUAAAGUGUGCCACCACAGCGACUGAGAGAACAGCAGUGUGGCAGAAAGAAUGACGACACUGGCGCAGACAAGUGGUUUGUCUCCUCAGCCAGAGGUCUAUCAGGGGCUGCCUUCCCUUAGAAGAGGGGCAGGGGCUCGGCCUCCACGGGCGCCCCUUCCCACUUUCCUCCAGCCCACGGCCCCUGAAGGUGAAAGCAGCCCCCCAGCCACCCGCGCCCAAGAAGGAUGGCCAGCGUGAUGGGGGAAGGGAGGGGGUGGACACCAAACACUCUGCAGGUUCACACACAAACACACACACACUGCGGGGCGGCCUGUAUCCAUCCGCUGCUCCCUGCAGUGCGACCCCUCGCGACCCUCCCAGCCCCGGCCCACGACCCCACUACGCUGCAGGGCCAGAAGCGUGGGGCUGCGGGGGGGUGGUCACCCCACGGGGGGCAGCGGAGGGCUGGCGUGGCUCCGCCCCUCAGCCUGGCGUUCUUCCCGGCCCCGCCCACUCUGGGUCGGAACUACGGUGGGCCAGCGAGGGGGCGUCGAGCCCAUUCGUGCCGUAUCUCUCCGCCCCCCUUGCUAAUACUCUCUGCGAGCAGUCGGUACCGCAACUUGUGCAGCCCCUGCGGGGUUUGGCGCGGGGAGAGGGAGCCCUCUUUGCCAUUCUGCCCACACGGCGAGCUGUGGGAACUGAGAGAGGAGCUGCGACCGGAGUGGGGAGGCCGACCACUGGAACCUUGCGCCUGCGAAGGUUUGUUCUUUUCAGAGUCCUGUAGAAAUCUGCAGGUAGCUGUUCUCUUUGAAUUUGAUUAGGAAAGAAGACGAAAGCUAUUCAUUUGAAUCCAAGGUCCACCUGUGAGUUGGCUAUAGGGCUUGUCAACACCAGAAACAAGAGAAGAGGAGAAAAGUCCACCAUAUCAGUGCAGGUUGGUGUGAGGCAUACCAGGAUAGACCUGUGGAGUAUAGUGGUAUAUUCCAAAGGGGCUGUA
RNAcentral lists this long non-coding RNA (1123 nucleotides) under Bos mutus (wild yak). Its description in RNAcentral is "lncRNA (ENSBMUG00000011284.1)". The record is from RNAcentral. Lineage: Eukaryota; Metazoa; Chordata; Mammalia; Artiodactyla; Bovidae.